Bradysia coprophila is the source of this 820-nucleotide long non-coding RNA. The record is from RefSeq and is a predicted model, not a curated record. NCBI's taxonomy places the organism in Eukaryota, Metazoa, Arthropoda, Insecta, Diptera, Sciaridae.
UAAUUCAAAAAUGAAAAUCGUCGAAAAGACACUUCAGUAAGAAUAAACUGGCAGGAAAGACAACAAUCAACUGAUAUUCUGUGUGCGAAUAAAACUACCAGCAUUAAUUACGACUCUACUGUGCUGUGCUAACACUGCUCGCAACUCUGGAAGGAAACUACAACCGAUCAUACUAAAAGCUUUUCGAUUUGGUAAACUACAUUGAUACAUUUGGGUAUGUCCGUCUUACCGAAAUGCAUAUUCUUAAUCUCAGUGCGGGGUUUUUAUGUCUACUCCUGAUUUCAUACCUAACACCUACAAAUGCGGUAUGCGAGUGGUCUGGAUGCGGAAAACGUUGUCCGAGUGGAGCGAAUACCCUGGUGACAACAAGAGAAGGAUGCCGCUUCUUUGACGAAAAGUCGAAGUGCUGUCUUAACGAUCCAGUUGCCUGUGAGUGGACGGGAUGUGGUGACAAAUGUCGAAGUGGGACAACCACAUUGGUCGAGAAUGGCGAUGGUUGCCGAGGUUUUGAUACGAAAUCGUAUUGCUGUAUUUCAGCGCGAAAUGCAACUUGUGAGUGGACUAGCUGUGGCCGCGAUUGUCCGAGCGGAACGACAACGUUGGUCACAUCCGGUGCGAAUUGUAGAGGUUUUGACAAACGGUCACAUUGUUGCCUUGAGGGUCUAUAUGACUGCGAGUUUGGUGGUUGUGGAAACAGAUGUCCGUCGGGAACAAAAGUCUUAGCUGAAAGUAAUACCAAUUGCAGGGGUUCAUUUGAAACGAAGAAAAUGUGCUGCUUGCUGCGAAAUAACCGGUAUUCCAAUAAUGGAUGGUGAUUGCA